UACGUAGGCAGCAAGCGUUGUUCGGAAUUACUGGGCGUAAAGAGUGUGUAGGCGGUGCUCUAAGUUCGGCGUGAAAUCUCCCGGCUUAACUGGGAGGGUGCGCCGGAAACUGGAGUGCUUGAGCGCGGGAGAGGAAAGCGGAAUUCCUGGUGUAGCGGUGAAAUGCGUAGAUAUCAGGAGGAACACCUGUGGUGUAGACGGCUUUCUGGACCGUAGCUGACGCUGAGACACGAAAGCGUGGGUAGCAAACAGG
Molecule: ribosomal RNA, 253 nt
Filed under: uncultured bacterium
Lineage: Bacteria
Description: partial 16S ribosomal RNA
Rfam family: Bacterial small subunit ribosomal RNA
Source: RNAcentral